UACGUAGGGUGCAAGCGUUGUCCGGAAUUAUUGGGCGUAAAGAGCUCGUAGGCGGUCUGUCGCGUCAGCUGUGAAAACCUGGGGCUCAACCCCGGGCCUGCAGCCGAUACGGGCAGACUAGAAUUCGGUAGGGGAGACUGGAAUUCCUGGUGUAGCGGUGAAAUGCGCAGAUAUCAGGAGGAACACCGGUGGCGAAGGCGGGUCUCUGGGCCGAUAUUGACGCUGAGGAGCGAAAGCGUGGGGAGCAAACAGGAUUAGAUACCCUGGUAGUCCACGCCGUAAACGGUGGGCGCUAGGUGUGGGCCUCAUUCCACGAGGUCUGUGCCGCAGCCAACGCAUUAAGCGCCCCGCCUGGGGAGUACGGCCGCAAGGCUAAA
RNAcentral lists this ribosomal RNA (377 nucleotides) under uncultured bacterium. RNAcentral describes it as "bacterial SSU rRNA". It matches the Rfam family "Bacterial small subunit ribosomal RNA", at positions 524 to 898 of the family's 1533-position model. The record is from RNAcentral.